GCAAGUCGAGUGGUAACAGAGGUAGCUUGCUAUCUGCUGACGAGCGGCGGACGGGUGAGUAACGCGUAGGAAUCUACCAAACAGUUGGGGAUAGCCAGUAGAAAUGCUGAUUAAUACCGAAUACGCUCUACGGAGGAAAGCAGGGGAUCUUCGGACCUUGCGCUGUUUGAUGAGCCUGCGUUGGAUUAGCUAGUUGGUGGGGUAAUGGCCUACCAAGCCUACGAUCUAUAGCUGGUUUGAGAGGAUGAUC
Molecule: ribosomal RNA, 250 nt
Filed under: uncultured bacterium
Lineage: Bacteria
Description: partial 16S ribosomal RNA
Rfam family: Bacterial small subunit ribosomal RNA
Source: RNAcentral